ACGACAGCUCCUCAACCACCUACAGGUCAUCUUCAGACGCAGACUGCUAACAAGUCGUCGUUGAGGAAGGCAACGACAGCUCCUCAACCACUGACCGAUCCUGCUCAAUCGCAUGGUGGUAACGAGUCGCCGUUGACCCAUUCUACAAGAGUCAAUGACGGAGUAGUCAAAAAGCGUUAGCUGCGACGGAUCAUGCACCUGCAUAAAAAAGACAUGUUGGAGCUAAAGGCUUGGAUUCAGUCAUUGACUCUGGCCAUGCAAAUGUUUGAAGACCGUGUCAUUGCUCGUAUUCUAGAGGGCCUG
Theobroma cacao (cacao) is the source of this 303-nucleotide non-coding RNA. NCBI's taxonomy places the organism in Eukaryota, Viridiplantae, Streptophyta, Magnoliopsida, Malvales, Malvaceae. The record is from RefSeq and is a predicted model, not a curated record.